Micropterus salmoides (largemouth bass) is the source of this 722-nucleotide long non-coding RNA. RefSeq lists it as uncharacterized. The transcript is spliced from 2 exons. The record is from RefSeq and is a predicted model, not a curated record. Lineage: Eukaryota; Metazoa; Chordata; Actinopteri; Centrarchiformes; Centrarchidae.
GGCACUUACGGAGCUUCUGUUUGUUUGAAAACAUUUUCGAUUCGUUGCCAAUUUUCAUAAAACUGCCAAUAUUUGAAAUCUACACAGUUGAUUUCUCGCCUAAAAACUUCUGAGAAGUGUAUUUAAAGUUCUGUUGUUGGCUUCUAAAGAAUAAAAUGGUUUGCGAGAUGAACGUCAUCACGUUUUGUGCGCGGUGUCUUCUGGGACAAGCCAUAUUUGGAAGGUCAACUUCCGUCACGUUUUUCUGCGGUCUGCGGGCUGCAGCUGGAUAUACUUGCUUUAAAGAAUAAAGACAUCCGCCUUUUUUAAACGAGGGAUACGUUACGAUUUCGGCCUUUCAGCGAGCAACGGGCGAGAGUUUACUGCAAACAGUGGAAGCGAAAAGACAUUUACUUUGGUCUUUUAUGGAUCCCAUUUACCUGAGAGGCUGGCACCAACCGAGAGACCCAUGUGAUGCUCUUACUGCAUCAAGUAGCAGCGUAGAUGAAGACCUAGAUUUGGAUGUAGCCAACGAAUUUAUUUUAUCAUUAUUUAUGUUUUUAUUACCGCAUGUUGUUAAAAUUGUUUGUAUUUUCAUAAUAUAUAUGAACUGUUUUGUAUUUAUAAUAUUUUAGCAAUAAUUCCUUUAUAUUUUCAUUAUGUUGUAUUAUCUUAAGUUGUCUACGUUGUAAUCCUUUUUCUUAAUAAAAUCUUUAUAUAUAACUUGUUUGGACGGAUUACCA